UAUUUUUUUUGCCAAUGCAUAAACUCUAGGAUCUCCUUCCAUGGCCAAUGAUGUCAAUUUGCCACUGAUUUUGUAUCAUUUAGAUCUGAAGUUGGGAAUUAGUGAAAAGAGCAUCUUUGACGAAUUCCAUCCAGAUGCAGAGGACUUGUUCAAUGUCACAUGCGAUUUUAAAACUAGUUUGUGAAAAGUUGGGGGACAAAAGUCAACGGCAUAAACGCCAGGUUCAUUUCUUUUUGCAGAGUGCGCACUGGAGUUUCUGAUGAGGAAAUGCAAUACCAUAGUAACUCCAUAAAAGCCCUAUUUUUGCAGGCAAUAUUUCUGUUGAUGUAGCUUGAGUUGGGACACUGUUUACUGUUGUACCUUUUAUUCUUGCACUGUUAAGAAUGGUUUACUUGCGUGUACAGAUAUAUAUUUAGGCAUCGGUCUGUUUCUAGUCAGUGGACUUCUGGUUGUCCAAUGCAUUAAUCUUUGUGAGAAAUAAAGGAGAGAAGUAUUAUUGCAU
Long non-coding RNA from Solanum tuberosum (potato), 502 nucleotides. RefSeq lists it as uncharacterized. The transcript has 2 exons. The record is from RefSeq and is a predicted model, not a curated record. NCBI's taxonomy places the organism in Eukaryota, Viridiplantae, Streptophyta, Magnoliopsida, Solanales, Solanaceae.